RNAcentral lists this long non-coding RNA (692 nucleotides) under Gossypium barbadense (sea-island cotton). RNAcentral describes it as "long non-coding RNA (GBAR_LNC022443)". Lineage: Eukaryota; Viridiplantae; Streptophyta; Magnoliopsida; Malvales; Malvaceae. The record is from RNAcentral.
CCUAAUUAAAAUAAUUAUUAUUUAUUCAAAAUUGAAUUACGUUUCGUGUUUAUGGGUUUUUAAGAUAAAAUCAAAGCAGGAUACUUUAUCAGAAGUAUAAUAAACGAAUUUUACCCGGCCCAUUUAAAACAGACCUAACUAGGGCCCAAUAUCCCAUUUUAGCCUAACCCAAUUAACUUAAACAUUAAACAGAAAAAAACCCUAGGAGGCUGAUGGUUUCGGCGCCGCAACCACCCACGCUUAGCAAACCGUUCAUCGAGCCACGUCAUUGCUCGCACGUUCGGCAGUCUCCACAAGGCUCGUUCCCACGUUCUCCUCCACCUGCAAUAAGCCACGAACGGCACAAAUAAGACAGAGAAAAACAAAAAUAGGAGGGAUUUUUGUUGUAUAAAAGGCAAAUCGACUUAUGUUAAGGGGGUUAGCAAAUUUUGUACUAAAAAAAUUGAGAAAGAAAAUACCAGAGAAAAAAAAACAUUUUGAAGGUGACGGAUUUGGUUUCUUUUCCUUGCUUCUUUUUUACUGUUUUUACUUUAUUUUGUCUCUCUUUUGUUUCUUCAAAACAAAAAAAAACGAAAAGGGGAGUAAAAGGGACUUACCGUCGCGAGUGGCGUUGGGGGAUCUCUUCAUUCUGUCGUCGGAAUGAGAGAGAUGUAGAGUGGCAGUGAAGGAGGAAGGCUGUGGCGCCCUUGAGG